AUUGAACGCUGGCGGCAAGCUUAACACAUGCAAGUCGAGCGGGGUGAGGUGCUUCGGUACUGAUCCUAGCGGCGGACGGGUGAGUAAUGCUUAGGAAUCUGCCAUUUAGUGGGGGACAACAUUCCGAAAGGAAUGCUAAUACCGCAUACGUCCUACGGGAGAAAGCAGGGGAUCUUCGGACCUUGCGCUAAAUGAUGAGCCUAAGUCGGAUUAGCUAGUUGGUGGGGUAAAGGCCUACCAAGGCGACGAUCUGUAGCGGGUCUGAGAGGAUGAUCCGCCACACUGGGACUGAGACACGGCCCAGACUCCUACGGGAGGCAGCAGUGGGGAAUAUUGGACAAUGGGCGGAAGCCUGAUCCAGCCAUGCCGCGUGUGUGGAGAAGGCCUUUUGGUUGUAAAGCACUUUAAGCGAGGAGGAGGCUACCUGGAUUAAUACUCUGGGAUAGUGGACGUUACUCGCAGAAUAAGCACCGGCUAACUCCGUGCCAGCAGCCGCGGUAA
RNAcentral lists this ribosomal RNA (501 nucleotides) under uncultured bacterium. RNAcentral's name for it is "partial 16S ribosomal RNA". It matches the Rfam family "Bacterial small subunit ribosomal RNA", at positions 30 to 523 of the family's 1533-position model. The record is from RNAcentral.